RNAcentral lists this long non-coding RNA (292 nucleotides) under Prunus persica (peach). RNAcentral's name for it is "long non-coding RNA (PPER_LNC008194)". The record is from RNAcentral. Lineage: Eukaryota; Viridiplantae; Streptophyta; Magnoliopsida; Rosales; Rosaceae.
UUUCUUGUAAUGUUGUUUGGAUAUGAUCAAAUUAUAGGGUUUAAAUGCUAAAGUUGUUUUUGUGUUUUACUAUUUGGUUUUGCCAAUUUGGUCCCGUGUUUGGGUGUCGUUAUCUAAUUAAAACGAUAGCUUUGUGAAGUCAAGAUUAGAGAAAGAUAUUAUAUAAAAAGCGACGUUGUACUGAUAACGUGUUAUGCAAAUAAGAAAAUAAAGAAAUAGUAGAGAAAGUAGUUGUAUUCCUUGCUUCUUCUCAUUAGCACCUCUAUUUGUAGGGUUUACUUUACGAUUACAU